This is a long non-coding RNA of Hevea brasiliensis (rubber tree), 310 nucleotides long. RefSeq lists it as uncharacterized. The transcript is spliced from 3 exons. The record is from RefSeq and is a predicted model, not a curated record. NCBI's taxonomy places the organism in Eukaryota, Viridiplantae, Streptophyta, Magnoliopsida, Malpighiales, Euphorbiaceae.
AUGGAGAUAAUUCAACUUUCAGAGGCUUCCUCAUAAAUUUUUGAAAUUUUUGAGACACAGAUAAACUUCGGGUGAUUGAGGUCAACUAUUUUUCUGCAUCCAGCAGCCACAAUAGUCAUCGGUGUACUGCCACAGGAGGAGACAUUUUUCAGAAUAACCUGUCCCUUUCCUCACAGGUUAUGAAAAGAUUACUUAACUGUAUUAUUAUUAUUAUCUAAAUUUAUAAUUUAGAACUCCGCAUGUACUAGUAGUAGCAUUAAUCCUGUCAGGGAUUGCAUGAACUUAAGUUUUUGUAUUAACAAAUGAAAAA